Molecule: unclassified non-coding RNA, 394 nt
Filed under: soil metagenome
Description: partial contains 5.8S ribosomal RNA, internal transcribed spacer 2, and large subunit ribosomal RNA
Rfam family: 5.8S ribosomal RNA (bases 1-121)
Source: RNAcentral
GAUGAAGAACGCAGCGAACGUGCGAAACGUAAUGUGAAUUGCAGAAUUCAGUGAAUCAUCGAAUCUUUGAACGCAUCUUGCGCUCCUUGGUAUUCCGAGGAGCAUGCCUGUUUGAGUGUCGUGAAUACUCUCAACUUCAACCCUUUUUUCGGAAAGGGAGGAAGGUUGGACUUGGGUGUUUGUUGAAGUGCGAGCUUCGACUCAUCCUAAAUGCAUUAGCGAUCUGCCUCGAUCACACACAAUGUGAUAAUUAAAACUAAAGCAUUGUUUAAUGAUCAAGUCGAGACUGCUUCUAACUGUCGCAAGACAAUAACGUGCAUACAUUUGUGCAUGUCAUUUGACCUCAAAUCAGGUAGGACUACCCGCUGAACUUAAGCAUAUCAAUAACGGAGGA